CCCGCACUGACCUGGAAAAGCUUCGGGAGUGGCGACGGGGGAGCAGCAGGAGGUGGUGCGGGACCCGAGACGCCUCGUACCCGGCCGGGCUGAUGCGGCCCCUCUACACACAAAGCACUUCAGCUGCACAGAGCGCUAUUUUCCGAAAAUGCCGCGUCUGGUCGGCGCCCAAAAUCCCCACCGAAAAGUCCCCCGUGCUGCGCGCGGAAGGACACAUGGUGUGCGAGAAAAAAAGAGGAAAGAUAAUAUCCCAGAAUAAAUUCCAUGAAGAAAAUAAAAUGAUGAGUGGAUAAAAUGUUUCUCUGGAGGAGAGAGCAGGCAGAAUUUUGAUGGUUGGUCAGAAGCAUCUCACUGAGAAGAUAUUCUCUGAGCCAAGACCUGAGCUGAAAAAAGUUAAGGUUAGUAUGUCAACAAAAGGGAAUAGGAGGAAAAAGGCUCUACGGUGAAAAGGAGUUUGUUUUUAAGGAGCAACAAGGAGGCCAAUGUGGCUGAAGUCUAGUGAAUAAAGGAAGGAAUGGUAGGACAUGAAGUCUUGAAAGGCAGACUUGGUAAGAAGUUUAGUGUGCUGGGAGCCAUUGAAGUGUUUUAAGGAAUAGAGUAGUAUGACUGGGAUAGUAGCAGUAAAGAGGGAGAAAAUGAAUGGAGCCCAGGUAUGUUUUGUAAUUAGCCUUGACCUGUCUUGCUAAUAAAAAAAUGUGAAGAGAGAAAGGGAGAAAUCAAGAGGGACUCCUAGGUUUUGGGCACAGAUGCCUAGGCCAGUACUGUCCAAUAGAAAUAUAAUGAAGUCCACAUAUGUAAUUUUUUUAAUUUCUAGUAAAAAGGAACAAUUGAAAAUAAUUUUACUAUCUUUUAUUUAACUUACUAUAUUUAAAGUAUUUUCAUUCACACAUGAUCAGUCUAAAAAUUAUUAAGUAUCUCAAAAUGGUUUACAUUCUUUUUUUAUUGCUAAGUGUUUGAAUCUGUGUGUAGUUUACGCUUUCCUAUUUGGAAUGAUGGAUGGUGGUGUUGGUAGCAACAACAUUGAGAAUAUAAUUAACGGCACUGAAAUAUGUAUCUGAGUAUGAUUUAAAGUGUCAGUAUUUUAUGUAACUUUAACUAAAGUUAAGGUUAAAUAUUCAAUUCCUCAGUUGUAGUAGCUAUAUUUCAAGUGCUCAGUAUCAUGUAUCGAUAUCCAAUUAAUAUAUUGGACAGUAGGGUAUAGUGGAAUAGAGAAUAGUGGAAGAGCAGAUUAAAAUAGUUGUAACUAGACUGGAAGGCCUUGGAUGCCUGAGAUUUUACCCUAGAGAUAAGGGGAAUAAUAGAAGGUUUUCGAGCUUAUUGUGCUUGAGGCCAGAAAGAGGCCACUAUGCGGCCAGCUGGUCACUCAAGAUCAAGAGAAAUUCUUCAGUUGUGUCUCCACCAUUCCAGGAUCUGACUUAAUCCCUGCAGAUUCAGAAGUUUGAUUUUUGUCAGUGCUUUGGGGCAGUGCCACCAAAAGUAUUGUCCACAGUUUAGUGACAAACAACAAACCAUUUUUUAGUGGUUUAUGACAGGCAUUUACAGAAGCUGAGAGUAAGAAUUUAGAAACUUUUAUAGCAAUUCAGUUAUUUUAUGGCUGUAGCUCUAAUAAAAAUUAUGGCCUUAUA
Molecule: long non-coding RNA, 1625 nt
Organism: Choloepus didactylus (southern two-toed sloth)
Lineage: Eukaryota; Metazoa; Chordata; Mammalia; Pilosa; Megalonychidae
Exons: 2
Source: RefSeq, a predicted model, not a curated record